GUGAGUCAUCGAGUCUUUGAACGCACAUUGCGCCCCGCCGGUAGCCCGGCGGGCAUGCCCGUCCGAGCGUCGUUUACAAGAAUCGGGCUCAGCCCGGCGUUGGGCACCUGCGGUGGGAACACCACUAGCAGCGCCCCAAGUGCAGCGGCAGGUGUGGCAGUGACCCGAGCGCAGUAGCACACUCGCUCAGGGCUCACUGCGGCGCCUGGCCCAGAACGUGCCCCGCGCAGCCCGCGGGAAGCACUGACGCCGACCUCGGAUCGGGUAGGAUUACCCGCUGAACUUAAGCAUAUCAAUAAGCGGAGG
Molecule: ribosomal RNA, 306 nt
Filed under: uncultured fungus
Lineage: Eukaryota; Fungi
Description: eukaryotic LSU rRNA
Rfam family: Eukaryotic large subunit ribosomal RNA (bases 251-306)
Source: RNAcentral